AUGUGGUUCAGUGACGUGGUUGAGUGGCCAAUAUUGAUGGGAGGUGGAAAGUUGGAUCUGUUGGAUCUGAAUGAUUCUGUGAGGAAUCAGGAUGCUGAGGUCGGGGGCAGACGGCUCUGUGUAGUUCUUGUACUGGACGCCCAGUGCCGCUGUUGGCCGCUGCCGAGCAGGGAUAGAAACGAGAACCAGCCGGAUGCUGCCGAGCUGCCGUUCGCUCCGAGAUCUCUAGCAGAAAUAGCCCGGCUGCGCUGGAAUACGUCCCAGUUCAAACCUUUCCAAAGGAUCUGCCGCACGGAGAACCAUCAGGGCCGAGCUCCCCUCUCUGAAGGCACAGCUCCUGGGGCAGCGGAGGAGAAUGCCAGUUUGGAUCAAAGCCCCUGGCUCAGCCACCAGUAAGGGAGGAGAAGGAGAAGCAUCUUGGUCCUCAUGAACAGAUAACUUUCAAGUGAGAUGAAAGAGAGACCCAACAUGCCCCAUAUAAGUGACUGGGCUGUGCCAGAGUUUUCUGUGGGUGGAAGGAUUCCUACCUCUUAAUCAACACUUUAUUCUUGUGUUUCUUUUGGAUUUGUGUUAAGUUUGGAGAUGGGUGCAUGCUGGGAACGCUGAGAUUUGGUAUCUAACUGUGAUAGUGCUAUUGCUCCUAUGUACCAAGUGAAGAAUUGGAUGAAAAUAUUCUGAUGCUCUAGCUUUCAUUUUCCUGCAUCUGCUUUUAUGCUUUCUUUUUGGUUGUCUGGUGGGCUCUGUAAUAAUGCAAUCUAUUCAAUACCAGGCCGUGUAGUUGUUCAUCAAAGCUGAAUGUUGCCAGAAAAGAUAUUGUUUGGUAACAUUGAGAUGCUGUGUAAUGUAGAGAUGGCUGACAUUGACACAGUGCACGCUCAACCAGGAGUUCCCUUGUUCUGCAUGCUGUGAAUAGUCCUCUUUGGGCACUGCGUUUCUUUUUUAUUCACUUGGUUCUCUUCCCCAAUGUAAAGUCAAAAUGAAGAGUUCUGUUGCGUUUCAGGGAUAUCAAGUUUAAUACUGGAGGGAAUUCAGUGCUGUGUGAUACUUCUGGUGUUUUGUGUUAUGCUUGUGCUUCCAAGAGUUGAAUUUUGGUUGACAGAGCCCAAUAAAAUCUACUGAAAAUCUACUGAUAGAAUCUUU
This 1140-nucleotide long non-coding RNA is filed under the name Coturnix japonica (Japanese quail). RNAcentral's name for it is "lncRNA (ENSCJPG00005011489.1)". Lineage: Eukaryota; Metazoa; Chordata; Aves; Galliformes; Phasianidae. The record is from RNAcentral.